UGCUCCACGGGUGCUGCCCAUAAUAGGGACCCUGAUCACGUGAAUCGAUGAAAAACUGUGGCCUGUCAUUCAAGUCGAAGUUUACUUCCUUCCCUGAUUGCUGAGAAACUGAAGGUGACGCGCUUUGCUGCCCAUUGUGACUUAGAAACAAUCUCGUUUCCAUCUUCAACUCAGAAGGUGGAGGAAUGUCAUCCUCUUCGUUUGUACAAUUCAAAUCCAGGUUGAACCUGCUUGAUCCUCGGAAAUUAGCUUCAUGUGAGGACUCUCCACCCCUAGAGUUUGAUGAGGAGAAAGGAAACUGUUUCCAGGGAGUCUGAUCUUCAACUUGAUCAUCUCCUACAUCCGCUACAUUCAGAUCGACACAUAUCACCUGCUUUUCUCUUGAAUCCCCGCUAGGAACUUUGUGAGGUGAUUCCGAGUGAGAUACACUACAAGCAGCCAAACCUUUCGCACUAAGAGAUCUUUCCAAUUGCAACGGUGCCGCUGCAGGCAUACCAGAAUAUGAAACAGACAUAAUGUCAUCGGUCUCAUCAGGACAAAUAUCUUCAUUGAGGUCAAAGCCACAUGGGCUUUUCUCUCUCCCUACCUCGGAUUUAGCAGGUUCUGCCAGGUGCUUCUCUUUAACAUCAUCAGCGUUCACCAUCCCAUUCUCACGUUUAUUAUUCUUCUCUUCCAGGUGAUCUCCAACAUGUGGUUCCUCAAGGGAAAGACUUUCACCCACUGAUAAUCUUUUAGAUGGAGAACCUGUGUGUAGAUCACCACUGUGGGAGUGUUGCGAAUCAGACUGCCCGCUUUCAUCAGAUAGUUCUUCUGAAGAACUGUGAGAAGCUUCCCCAGAGUCUACGUCUCUUGCCACUUCCUGUGCGACUUUGGUAGCGAUCUCCAAGGCAUCCAAGAUACCAAGGUCAAUAUCAGCCGUUGUUUUGUCGAUUGCUCCAAGGCGCUGGGAUAUGGUCAUUGAUCUAGAAGACCUGCGUUUUUUUCUUCGUUUCACUCUCUUCUCUGUGUCUAAAUGUCCCUUACCUUCUCUUUUGUCUUCACUCUCAACUUUAUCAUUUCUACCAUGACCACCUGAUAAUCUAGACGAACUGUCAGAAUCCUGAUUGUCCGUCACCUGAGCCAAUGAAGGCACAUUUUCCCUAUUAUGGGCAAUACUAACAUCGUGCGACGCGCAUACGGUCUCAGACGCAUUCCUGCUGACCUCAUUUGAAUCAAGACUACUCUGCAAAAUACUAUUUUUCUCCAACUCCAUGCUGACAAUAACAGAAUCAGAAGACACAGCUACAGAACUAGAUGACACUGCUCCAGCUCCACCAAUCUUUUCAAGAAAAUUUCCAGGGCUUCCUAGCUGCUUUUCCUUAGAUAUCUCAGCACUAACCGGAGCAAUUGAUGGACCUUCGACACUAUCGCGUUCUGAAUUAAGAAUGCUAAUAGAGCUUGCAACUUGUGCCUGCCACCAACAAUAUAAGCUUGCUUGUAUAAGCAAAAAGAUCAUAUUUUGUUUCAAUAUAUUUUCUCAGUAAAUUGGACCUUACCUUGGCACUGAGAUUAGAAAGAAAAGCUGUACACUCGUCUGGCUGCAUCACUGGUUGUGCGUCUUCUGUCUCUUGUUUAUUUGAAGUAGCUGCCUUUCCAGACUCUGAUUCAAUGCUUAUUUUGUUUGGUACAGUUGCACUAUUAUCUUCUUUACUCAUCUGCGGCGGCUUACCCAAAGAGACUUCUUCUACACACGCUCCUCCACGGGUAGGAUCUCCAGAAGUCUGCAAUAACACAAAGCAAUAAAGUUGACUGUCAAGUUAUCAUCUUUGGUAAAAUCUGAUUCCUUCCUAGGAUUCUGAGAAAGCUGGUUAUAGGGAAAGGGAGAAGAUUAUUACUUGGACAUAAGCAUCGCAGUUGUGAGGAUUGGCGGAGAGCUCCGAACCUAGGAAUGGGGCAGCCUCGGAAUCAUCCGCAGAGGGUGGGGCAGGAUCUUCCAUCUUCUGAUCGAUGCUCGUGAGUAGCUCAGUGUCAUCCAUCGUCUCAAUUUUCUCCGUCGUCGAGACUAUAUAACCACCAAUUCAAUUUGUGAUUUUGAAAUUAGAAUCUAUGCAAACGCACUCACACAAUUGGUCAAUUCCUUUGAAUUAUAAACCGGUAAGGAUUUUGAUAAGCUUGAAGUAAGCUCAUCGGGGGGGGGAGGGAGAAUUGACGAAGAGCAGGGUAGAAGGAAGAAGAAGAAAUGAGAAUUUAGGGAUUUUGAUAUUUGAUUUGUUGAUUUUUUCCAUAAAGUUUGCGUGAUUACAUACAUAUAAAGUAUAAACCAAAAGAAGAUAAUAACUAACAGCCCAAUGGACAAUAAACCGAGGCCCAAAUGGUUCUUAUCAGAUUUCACGGUUAUCCUUAACCUCACAUUGAUUGUAAAAUAAUUUUGGGGCCCGGUUGAUGUUCGGGUAAAUUGAGGCUUUGUGGUUGUGUAAAGUCCUGGAAGCCGAAAAAUUGCCAAUAAAUUUUUUUUAGACUUUAGAAAUAUGUAAAGCUUUAAAAGCCACUUUUAAACAAAAAAAAAACUGGUUUUUAGUUCUUUAUUUUCAACAGCCACUUUUUAAUGCUUUUAAACCAUUUCUUUUUAUUAUUUUUUUCUAAAAAAACGUGAACGCUUAAGGUUUUAGGAUUUGCUCAAUGCCAAAAUUAUUUCGCUUAGAUGAUACUAAUUUUCCUCAUCCAUCUGAUGGUAAGUAUUAUUUAGGUGAUUCAGAAUACGCAUUGCACCGUAGAUAUCUUUGUCUUUAUAGAGGAAAUACAUCUCUUAUAUACUAAAGCACAAGUCACAUGUGGAAUAUAUUUUAUUAAAAAAAUCUAUCUAAAACAAAUUCUCAUCCCUAAUUUCCAGCAACUCUAUCCUAUUUUUUCUCAGAAUCCACGUUCAAAAUCACCAUGAUUUCAAACGGUUUUCUUCUCCUAUAUACUUUUUGAUCUUUUAGUUCACUCUCUGUUUUAUAUUUUCUAUCUUCUCCAUUAUCAAAUCCCCAUGCUUAUCAAGGACAAACGUUAGUAUCUGAGUUUCCAAUUCUUUUAUCUAAAAUUGAAUAUUUACAGGUAUGUUUUUUGGCUUAUCUUUACGUAAUUACUAUCUUUUGCAUUAGUUUUAGUAUUUCAAAAGGAACAUACAGACCUGUAACCCACAUUCUAAUAGUACGUUUAAUAUCUUUAAGUUUUACAUCUAUUUUAGUCAAGGUCAGAGUUCAUCUCAUGUUGAAAUAUAUUCAUGGUCAAUUUUACAUUGCCAUAUCAAGAGUCGAAAGUAUAGAGAUCUUAAUUGUUAGUGAGGAGGGGGGGAGGGGGAAGGAUACAAAAACAACUAAUGUUUCUAGAUAUUUUUCAUCACAUUAGAGAAUCUUGAAUCAUCUUUAGGUGAAAAUAGAAUAAUAAGUGUAGCCACCACAAAAAAAAACAAUGAUAGAGAUCUUCAGAGCUUGGAAGAUGAUGAAUCCCAUAGAAAGGUGAUGAAUAUUUUCUAGAGUAAAUGCAACUUCUUUGUUUGAACGCAGCCAUCUCUUAUCAUGUUUAUCGAAUAUUUGACUAGAUUAUUAAUUUUUAGUGAAAGAUAUAUUAAAAUUUCAUGAUCAAGUAAUUUAAUAGACAGGGAAAUUGAUCCGUGCAUGGCACGGGAGAACACUAGUAUCAUCUAAAUCAGUUCUAAAAUCAACAAGAAGAAAGAAACUACAGAGAAAUUUUUAAUCGUCACCAUUCAUGACUUCGUUCAGUGAUAGAAAGAACUUUUGGAGUAUAGAAAAAAAUGAUGUAUUGUCAAAGACGAAGCAAGGUAUAACAUAUGCAAAAAAUUGUGGUGGCAACCAUGGUUCUCCAUAAUUUUAUUUGUAAAUCAAAUCUUGUGGAUCCUAAUUUUCAGUCAAAAGAAAAUGAAAAUGAACAAAUGACAAAUGAGGAAAAAACUUCCAGAUACGAUUGAACAAGAUCUCAGUUCAAAACAAUACAUGGAAGGUGUUCGAGAUGAACACUGCAAACAACAUUAGCAACCGUUAAAUCUUAUUUUUUAUAUUUAAUAAAAUGUAAUCUUAUUUAAAUAAUAAAAAUAAUAUUUUUUGUUAGAAUAAAUAAUAAAAUAUAUUUACUGCUAAUUUUUUACUGAUAAAUAAAAAGUAGAUAGAAAAAAAUAAGUUAUAGAUUUUGGAAAUGAAUGUGAAAUAUAUACUUAUAACAGUCGCAGCUUCUAAAGUUUUUGAUGUCAAUCAAGCUUUUAAACUUUUCAAAAUAACAGUCACAACGUUUAAAGCUAAAUUCUCUACAGUCAUAUUUUUAAAACCAAAUCAUAAAGCGAAAGUGUUUACCAAUCCGACCCUUGGUCUUGAAUAGUUUAGUGUAGACGAAUUUUGGAACUCAAACCCACUCGCGAUUCACAUCUAUCGACCUCGUUUACAUUUCCAAAUUAGUACUCCUAUAUUACACUCAAUUAAACACUCAACCCAAUUCUCUAUCUCCUACUAAGUUUAAUGGUAAAUGCAACUCUUGUUAAUUGUGAAAAAAAACUCUGGUUAAUUAUUUGAAAUAAGUUAGUGAAAAAUAAGAAUUUCUCUAAAAUCAACUCUCAGUUAGGCACCAUUUAUUUUUCUAUUAAACUAUAAAUACUAUAGUAUAUCACCAAAUAUCUUAUUAUGUUUUAUAUAUUUCUAAAAGCCAUAUAAAUUUAUAUAAACUGAAUAUUUUGUGAGAAUGUAAGUUUUGAAUUUCUUAGGGAGAAUAUAAGUCUUUUUUAACAACUGCGAAAACAACCGUUAAUUUAAUAUUUUUUGUAUGCAUUAUACACUAAUGCCUGAUAAAUGUAUGAUGUUAUAGAUAGUUUUUGUAAAAAAAUAGACAACGACUCAAAGACCAAAUGUGUGUUAUUUUCAGUUAGAUACAUAAAAUGAAAAUAGAACAAGAAUCAAGUGAGACCAUAACUUGAAAUUGGAUUCAAGAUGACUUACAGCCAUGGAUGGUCUUGAGCAUAGUGAAGUGAAAUAUUGGAAUAGGGUCUCCAAUUUUUUUUUUGAAAAUUUUACUUUGAAAAAGGUCUCCAAAUUUGUAAAAAAUAAUUUUAUGUUAAAACUUUAAUAAAAUGUUUAUGGCCCCCAACAUUUUAGGGACGCCGUGCUUACACUUAGUGGGAGUUAUUGGUUGGUGUAUUUUGAUGGAUUUAAAAAUUCAAACUAAAUCUAGUGUUAUUGGUUCUACGAUUUUAAAAUAUGUAUUGAAAUUAUGUGUUAUUCGUUUAAUGAUUCAUAAAUUCUAAUUCAAAUCAAGUGUUAUUCGUUUAAUGAUUCAUAAAUUCUAAUUCAAAUCAAGUGUUAUUCAAUCGUACGGAUUUACUAAUAAAUUUGAUUUCAUAAUGUAUUUGAAUGGAUUUGCAUGAAUUUCUCUGUGAAAAAUACAAAGGCCCAAAUCCGAAAGAAAACCUCCGGAUUUGUAAAUACUAAUCCGAGAAAAUUUGAAAAUUUGUAUAUUUUACUUGGAUUUAUAAAUACUAUAUGGAUUUCUAAAUCAAUAAAAAUAUAUAAACCAAUAACACCUCCUUACAGUAUAUAUACUAUAUACUCGCGAGUUAAGAACUUCCAAAAUCUCAAGAACUACCAAAAGGUGUUUACAUGUAUACAAUGGAAACUCACUCAGCCCCCUUGAACGGGUUUGUCUCUGCUUUUUUGAGUCUCAGAUGCGAUAUUGUCAGUCUACAAUAUAAGAUUUUCUUCAGAGUGCGUUAAUAAAGUAGAACAAGAAAAGCUAUAUCCAAGGGAAUGAGAAGAGAAGGGACCAAGGUGCUUUCGCCUAUUCAGAACUUCGAGAUGUGUCCUUUGAAUUCCUCGAACCUUCUAUGAAAGCAAUCAUACCAGGCUAGAAUUCUUUGGACCAGAUAAAGUAUGAACUCAAGACUUGAGGAAAACCAGGAAGAGAGACAGAUUCCUCCCAAUUUCCACGCCGACUGAAAUCCUCUUUUUACCCUUCUUUGGAUUUGACCGUUCUAUACUGAUCUUCUUACCAAGAAACAUCUUUUUGUUCUUUGCUAUAGCUGCUGCAAAGUCCUCAUCAUCCACAAAGUCAACAUAUGCCAGUCCCUGCGAGACACAAGAGCAUCAAGAAUAUUAAUCCACCAUACUGGCAUGCUUCACUAAGACAUAAAAUAGCAGCAGAUAGUCAUCGGCAGUAUGCAUAAUUGAUAUCUAUGAUGAACAGAUUUACCAAUCAAUGCACCUGGAAAAAUAUACUCAAGUUCCAACAGGAUUUCAUCUAAGCAUGAUCAUACGGAAACUAGGAAAUUUCCAGAUUCAUUUACAGUAACAGUAAAGACUAAGAAGAGCAAAUACUAAUUCAAAGUCGAAAGUACGAGCAUUAGACCAAAGAAGAGCAAAUACUAAUUCAUCUAGAGGCUAGAGAUGCUUCAUUCCUUGCUCAUUCAAGCCACAGAGAAGGACUUAAUGGAAACACGGCACUCAUAGCUUCCCUUGCUUGUCUUAGCUUUUCAAGGUUUGCAUAAUUCCUGAGAAGCUUUAUAUACUGCAAUAACGUUGAUUGUCAAGCAUGAAAGUUAUCAUUUUUUUAAAUGAAAAUUUGGUAAAAGAAAAUCUGUUUUCCUGCCAGAUUCUGAGUGGGAGAAGAUUUCAAGCAAAUGGAAGGUAGAGAAGAUGUUAUUAUUGGAUGAUACCUUCUUUAUUGCGUCUGACUUCCAAGGCUAAAAAUGAGUUUCUGGGUGCUUCUUCUACUUCCCCAACUGUUACGUUUAGCUGCUUUGAUAUUGGUCUGAUUAUGCAUAUAAUUUGAACCGCUAGAUAUUCUCCAAGUAUUGUUCUUUACGACAGCUCAAACUCUGUUUCUAGGAACCACACAAACAACAGCUCAAACUCUGUUUCUAGGAACCACCAUUGUUUGGUUGGUUUAAGAGUUGUAUGAAACAGUUCAGAACUGCUACAGUAACAUAAAGCAACACUUGAAACGCAAAACUAUAGUUUUAUUUUAUGGAGAAAAUACAAAACAAGGUUAAGAAGAAGCUUGACAUAUACCAAUGUUUGAAUUAAUCCUCCUAUAUAUGUUACGAAAUAAAAACCUGAAAAAGGGGGAAAACUGAUGGGAAAAAAGAAGAAGAAAGUUCAUCAAGACAUUAUAAGUUACCUCCCAACACUUCUGUUAUUCUCUAACCAAUCAACCAAUCCAUCCACCUAUUAAGAACCCAAUCUCCACUUUCUGCGAAUCACUCAUCUCCAUGGAGGAGGGAACUCCCAACGUGUCUCCGGCUCUUUCCGCUUUCCACCAAUGCUAAUAGAUAAGCUCGAUGAAGGCUCUACAUUUGCUCCUGAAUGCUCUCCCAUAGCUUCGCCUUGUCCAGGUGAUAGAAACUGCCUCAAACUUAGCGACUCUCGGUUUCCCAUCUCACCCCCAAACCCAUAACUUUGAUCAAAGCGUGGCUGCACAGAUCCAUUCAGACUAUGCGAUCCACCCGCCAAGCUCAUGAACAUGUGCUGUUGAGGAAAUGGUGGCUGUGCAUAUGGAGUCGAUCCCAUCAUUUGAGGCAUCAUCACUGGCGUACCCCUUGCGUCCACCAUGUAUGGAAUAGCUGUUCCAGGAACAUACAUGGCCGAUGAUGACAUUGACAUCCCAGGAGGACCAGUAAAUCCGUUGUACCCAUAUACAGGAGCUGGAGAAAAGGACACUCCAGGUGCUAAACCCAAAGAGUUUCCUGUUUUUCCCAUGUAUAAUCCUGUUGCUGUCUCGAGGGACUUACCAUUGGACAGGAACGAAGCCAUCUGGGAAACAGUCUCUUUUCUGUCAACGUCCACUUUUGUACCCAAUAGAGAGAUAACCGGUUCAUCCACUUUGUGCCCUCCAUAGGAGGCUGUGCUCCACGGGUGCUGCCCAUAGUAGGGACCCUGAUCACGUGAAUCGAUGAAAAACUGUGGCCUGUCAUUCAAGUCGAAGUUUACUUCCUUCCCUGAUUGCUGAGAAACUGAAGGUGACGCGCUUUGCUGCCCAUUGUGACUUAAAAACAAUCUUGUUUCCAUCUUCAACUCAGAAGGUGGAGGAAUGUCAUCGUCCUCGUUUGUACAAUUCAAAUCCAGGUUGAACCUGCUUGAUCCCCGGAAAUUAGCUUCACGUGAGUACUCUCCACCCCUAGAGCUUGAUGAGGAGAAAGGAAACUGUUUCCAGGGAGUUUGAUCUUCAACUUGAUCAUCUCCUACAUCAGCUAAAU
RNAcentral lists this long non-coding RNA (8212 nucleotides) under Brassica rapa (field mustard). RNAcentral describes it as "long non-coding RNA (BRAP_LNC002236)". The record is from RNAcentral. Lineage: Eukaryota; Viridiplantae; Streptophyta; Magnoliopsida; Brassicales; Brassicaceae.